This is a non-coding RNA of Cinara cedri, 401 nucleotides long. The record is from the annotation of a GenBank genome assembly. Lineage: Eukaryota; Metazoa; Arthropoda; Insecta; Hemiptera; Aphididae.
GGAAAGUGUUUUGUCGAACCGUACAAUAUUAUUACAUCAUAAGCACUCAGUGAUUGCAUAUUAUCGUCGUUGGGUAAAAAUUAUUUUCCGACAAAAUAGAAUCCCUGCAAAAUACGUUUCGACAAAAUACUUAAUAAGAGUUCACACUUUGCCAUGUAGAUAAGUUAAUGCCAAUAAGAGUUAACAUUCAGUUUCCAACGUACACUCGAACAACAUGCAUAAUGUUGUAGUUUAUGCAUAGUGUUUACUAUACUUCAUAUUAACAGUUUACUAAGUAAGUUUUACUAAAUAAGUUUCAUAAAGAAUACUGCAGUAAAAAAAAUAAUAUUGUUAAUAAUAAUAGUAGUAUCUGUACAUUGUACAGUAAUCAGAUUAAACUGAAGUUAAUAUUAUGAUGUUUU